This 1363-nucleotide long non-coding RNA is filed under the name Anser cygnoides (Swan goose). Its description in RNAcentral is "lncRNA (ENSACDG00005007916.1)". The record is from RNAcentral. Lineage: Eukaryota; Metazoa; Chordata; Aves; Anseriformes; Anatidae.
AUGCCCGAUUUCAUCAUCAAAUCCCUUCCCAACAAGUUAGUCCCUGCCUUUGGUACAUACAGUAAUUGCCCAGUAAUCAUUUUAUCCCCUACUCUCAGCCUGGUAUCCCCCAAAAGUGGGGCUGUUAUCCCAGCCCCUUCUACCCCCAUCACUUUUAGGGUUUCAUCAGUUAAUUUAAUCCCUGAUACUUUACAGGCCAGUAAUGACCUAGCUGCCCCAAUGUAUUGGGUUCAAUGGCAAGGUUCUGGGGGGUUCUGCAGUGGCAGCCCCCACGAGAAGAAUCCAGAAGCCUCCCUGUGGCAGAUAAGGGACAAUUUCAGCCGGCCCCAGAGGGGCCCACCGCUGCCCAGAGCCAAGCCAUGAGCAACACAGUCCGUGCCUCUGUGAGAGCACAUCCAAGAAAAUGAAAACAAACAAACAAAAACCUGCUGCUCAACAGCAGCUGAGAGAGCGAGGAGCGAGAAACCUCCCCACAGACACCAAAGUCAGCGCAGAAGGAGGGGGAGGAGGCGCUCCAGGCACCGGAGCCGAAGCCCCCCUGCGGCCUGUGGAGAGGCCCCUGGUGGAGCAGGCUGUCCCCCCUGUCCCGCCCCUCCCUGAUACUUGGGAAAUUGAUCAAACACCACAGCAAAUAUACCAAAACUUCUAGACUGUUACUUAGAUAAUGCCUACGUCCUCUUUCCCUGCUCAUUCAACUUCAAACAGCUCUGUCAAACACUACAUACUACACCUUUAACACCUUCAAUAACUCUUUUUAACACUUCUUUUUAUCUUUCUCCAGCCUGUACUUUCACCAAAGGCUCCGUCAAGGGGCAAAUUAAUUCCAUGCUUUUUUUCCCUCCAGGAUGCUGAAACAACAUAUCAGUAUACUAUAUUUCAUCCCAUUUUCCUUCUCUCCUCCUUCCACUCCAGAUAUUCCUAUUUGAAGUGGCCAGCCUGGCCACACUUAAAACAUCCUAUCAAAGCCUGUCUCUGCUAGAAUUCAGGCUGCAACACAGGUAGCUUUCCUUGCCUGCCAUUACUUCAUCUCUCUUCCUCUCCCUUCCAUUCUGGCCCUGACUCCCCCUGAAGAUUUUCUUCCUCUUUCUCCAACUCUCUGCCUCACUACCCGCUACACUGUCAAUACCAUUAGUUUCGCUCUCUGCUUUUCCUUCUCAUCUCCCCUCCUGAUGCACACCUUCAGGGCCUCCCGCAGGAGGGUCCCCCAGUGACUGUUCACUACAUCCCCCCACCUUCUGGAGCUUUUUCUAAGUAUUUUGCCAGGCUUUAAUCACAAAACGAACUUUCAAGAGCCCUUGGGAUACCGGGUCCUCGGGAUUCAUCCCCGAGUACUUUCUCAUUCUGACCCCAAGUCUCUUAUAUG